GAUGAAGAACGCAGCGAAAUGCGAUAAGUAGUGUGAAUUGCAGAAUUCAGUGAAUCAUCGAAUCUUUGAACGCACAUUGCGCCCGCCAGUAUUCUGGCGGGCAUGCCUGUUCGAGCGUCAUUUCAACCAUCAAGCCCCAGGCUUGUGUUGGGGACCUGCGGCUGCCGCAGGCCCUGAAAACCAGUGGCGGGCUCGCUGUCACACCGGGCGUAGUAGAUUUUAUCUCGCUCAGGGCGUGCUGCGGGUUCCGGCCGUUAAAAAGCCUUUUUUACCCAAGGUUGACCUCGGAUCAGGUAGGAAGACCCGCUGAACUUAAGCAUAUCAAUAAGCGGAGGA
This 336-nucleotide unclassified non-coding RNA is filed under the name soil metagenome. Its description in RNAcentral is "partial contains 5.8S ribosomal RNA, internal transcribed spacer 2, and large subunit ribosomal RNA". The stretch from base 1 to 120 matches the Rfam family "5.8S ribosomal RNA", at positions 35 to 154 of the family's 154-position model. The record is from RNAcentral.